UGACAGAGUCAGUUGUGGUUCUGAACGACCCAACUGUCAGUAUCCUCAUGCGCUGCAAUAUGUAUGCCUUUGGGUUCACUAUGAGCCGGUUAGUUUCAUUUUGAUGUAUGCAAACUAUGAUCAAGAAGUUCCGACCUUUUCAUGGUUUCACUAUGAGCUGGUUAGUUUCAUUUUGAUGUAUGCAAACUAUGAUCAAGAAGUUCCGACCCUUUCAUGGUUUCAAGAAAUCUGUACUUGUGUGAAUAUCCUUUUGGGCUGAAGUGGCUAUCCUGCAUGUUGAUGCUAAGUUUACAAGUCUCUGCUUAUUUAACUGCAGAAUCAACUCUUCCUUUGAUAGAGGUCUUCAUUUUUACUGAUUACCCGGUGCUCUUCUUAAUAUUAAAUAUUUAGAAAAUGUACAUUUGAUUUCUGUUUCUAUGUUUUGUUUUAGCUGACGAUGAAAUGAGGCAGAUUAUCCUCUUUUCAUUAUAGUCAACUGUUCAGUG
Molecule: long non-coding RNA, 485 nt
Filed under: Triticum aestivum (bread wheat)
Lineage: Eukaryota; Viridiplantae; Streptophyta; Magnoliopsida; Poales; Poaceae
Description: long non-coding RNA (TAES_LNC027827)
Source: RNAcentral